UAUUCUGCCCUACGGGAAAGGAUGAGAAGCUUCGACUAAGGUUCGACUCGAGCGUAGCGAGAGAACGUUGCCGAAGGCAACGGCCCGAAGGGCGAGGCGCUUUAGCGCCGAGUCAUCCUUCCCCCACCGCUG
RNAcentral lists this small RNA (132 nucleotides) under Klebsiella quasipneumoniae. RNAcentral describes it as "RtT sRNA". It matches the Rfam family "RtT RNA". From Rfam's summary of the family: This family represents a bacterial cis-regulatory element known as RtT RNA. The exact function of RtT is unknown although it is thought that it may be involved in changing the cellular response in relation to amino acid starvation. The record is from RNAcentral. RNAcentral also lists the same sequence under 2 other names. Lineage: Bacteria; Pseudomonadati; Pseudomonadota; Gammaproteobacteria; Enterobacterales; Enterobacteriaceae.